RNAcentral lists this ribosomal RNA (468 nucleotides) under uncultured bacterium. RNAcentral's name for it is "partial 16S ribosomal RNA". It matches the Rfam family "Bacterial small subunit ribosomal RNA", at positions 28 to 507 of the family's 1533-position model. The record is from RNAcentral.
GACGAACGCUGGCGGCGUGCUUAACACAUGCAAGUCGAACGGAAAGGCCCUGCUUUUGUGGGGUGCUCGAGUGGCGAACGGGUGAGUAACACGUGAGUAACCUGCCCUUGACUUUGGGAUAACUUCAGGAAACUGGGGCUAAUACCGGAUAGGAGCUCCUGCUGCAUUGUGGGGGUUGGAAAGUUUCGGCGGUUGGGGAUGGACUCGCGGCUUAUCAGCUUGUUGGUGGGGUAGUGGCUUACCAAGGCUUUGACGGGUAGCCGGCCUGAGAGGGUGACCGGCCACAUUGGGACUGAGAUACGGCCCAGACUCCUGCGGGAGGCAGCAGUGGGGAAUAUUGCACAAUGGGCGGAAGCCUGAGGCAGCAACGCCGCGUGCGGGAUGACGGCCUUCGGGUUGUAAACCGCUUUCGCCUGUGACGAAGCGUGAGUGACGGUAAUGGGUAAAGAAGCACCGGCUAACUACGUG